GUUUCAUAUUAAAGAACCUUUGGCUUAUUAAAAAUAGGUAGUGGGUUUAUUAGGUAUAAAACGAAACA
RNAcentral lists this transfer RNA (68 nucleotides) under Ulva gigantea. Its description in RNAcentral is "tRNA-Phe". Lineage: Eukaryota; Viridiplantae; Chlorophyta; Ulvophyceae; Ulvales; Ulvaceae. The record is from RNAcentral.